GUCAUGUGGGCGCGACGACCGCCAGCGCGGGGGUGCGGCUCUAGAUCAGGGCCUCAAUCUCAGGGCCUAUGACCGUGGUAGGCAAGUGCUCCACCCCCUGAAAAUGUUUCCAGGGUUGGUUUUGAACUUCUAGACUCAAGUGAUUCUGCUGCCUUGGCCUCCCAGUACCAAGGAUUGAAUUUGGGACUUUGCACUUGCGAGGCAGGCAGCGGAACUAUUGAGCUAAACCCCUGGCCCUAAUUUUUAAUGAGGGCUGGAUGUAACAACCACCUUGAAAAGUUCCUGAUAAUCUACCUACCAGCUCUCUUGAGUCAGAACAGACAAAUUCCAACAUAACACUGUAGCAUUCUAAGAAGGAACUAAUGCCAGGCAACAACAGUCAGACCAUUCAUACAAGACCUUUCCUCCUUAAUCAGCCUCCUUCUUCUACCCUGUCCCUUACCCAUACAGGCAUCAGACAUAGCCUAGUGCGUGUGGAAAAAAAGGGAACAGAACAAGUAAGAUGAGAGAAAAAAUGCCAGCCAAGUUUCUCUUUCAACUGUAAAUUUUUAGGCCCACAAUAGGCCUAAGCUGGAAGAAGUGAAACUUAAAUUGAAUAAUUUUUAGGAUUUAUAAGAUCAUUAGACUAAAAGGAACUUCUAGUGUCUAAAAUAAUCCAAUAAAGCCAGCUAAAUUCCUACUCUUUCAUUCUGAGACAGUAAAAGACAACUACAGUGAGUUUACAGAGGAAAUAAUUGAGAAAAAUAACUAUUUUCUGUUUGUACCCUACAAAGUCUAGUUCAUUCAAGAAACAUACACUUCACAUAGUCUGGUAUAAUAAAUUUCUCAGAAACUUAGCAUUUUAAAAUACUAUUUCAGAAUUGAAGCUGAGUUGGGUGUGGUGGCUCACGCCUGUAAU
Long non-coding RNA from Fukomys damarensis (Damara mole-rat), 898 nucleotides. RefSeq lists it as uncharacterized. The record is from RefSeq and is a predicted model, not a curated record. Lineage: Eukaryota; Metazoa; Chordata; Mammalia; Rodentia; Bathyergidae. The transcript has 3 exons.